Molecule: ribosomal RNA, 253 nt
Filed under: uncultured bacterium
Lineage: Bacteria
Description: partial 16S ribosomal RNA
Rfam family: Bacterial small subunit ribosomal RNA
Source: RNAcentral
UACAGAGGUGGCAAGCGUUGUUCGGAAUUACUGGGCGUAAAGCGUGCGCAGGCGGUUUGUUAAGACAGGCGUGAAAUCCCCGGGCUCAACCUGGGAACUGCGCUUGUGACUGGCAGGCUAGAGUACGGCAGAGGGGGGUGGAAUUCCACGUGUAGCAGUGAAAUGCGUAGAGAUGUGGAGGAACACCAAUGGCGAAGGCAGCCCCCUGGGUCGAUACUGACGCUCAUGCACGAAAGCGUGGGGAGCAAACAGG